AGUCGAACGGUGGCAGCAAUGUCAUAGUGGCGCACGGGUGCGUAACACGUAACUAACCUACCUAUAACUGGGGGAUAGCCCGCCGAAAGGCGGAUUAAUACCGCAUAAGCUGUUUGAGUGGCAUCACUCGAUUAGUAAAGAUUUAUUGGUUAUAGAUGGGGUUGCGGGUCAUUAGCUAGUUGGUAAGGUAACGGCUUACCAAGGCGACGAUGACUAGGGGAGCUGAGAGGCUGGUCCCCCACACGGGCACUGAGAUACGGGCCCGACUCCUACGGGAGGCAGCAGUAGGGAAUAUUGGGCAAUGGGCGAGAGCCUGACCCAGCCAUGCCGCGUGCAGGAAGAAGGCUUUCUGGGUCGUAAACUGCUUUUGACAGGGAAGAAUAAGGACUACGUGUAGUCUGAUGACGGUACCUGCAGAAUAAGCACCGGCUAACUCCGUGCCAGCAGCCGCGGUAAUACGGAGGGUGCGAGCGUUGUCCGGAUUUAUUGGGUUUAAAGGGUGCGUAGGCGGCCGCUUAAGUCUGGGGUGAAAGCCCGCUGCUCAACAGCGGAACUGCCCUGGAUACUGGACGGCUUGAGUACAGACGAGGUUGGCGGAAUGGACAGAGUAGCGGUGAAAUGCAUAGAUACUGUCCAGAACCCCGAUUGCGAAGGCAGCUGACUAGGCUGUUACUGACGCUGAGGCACGAAAGCGUGGGGAGCGAACAGGAUUAGAUACUCUGGUAGUCCACGCCGUAAACGAUGGAUACUCGCUGCGAGCUAAAGAUUGUUCGUGGCUUAGGGAAACCGAUAAGUAUCCCACCUGGGGAGUACGCUCGCAAGAGUGAAACUCAAAGGAAUUGAC
RNAcentral lists this ribosomal RNA (844 nucleotides) under uncultured bacterium. Its description in RNAcentral is "bacterial SSU rRNA". It matches the Rfam family "Bacterial small subunit ribosomal RNA", at positions 60 to 914 of the family's 1533-position model. The record is from RNAcentral.